CGGGUUGUGGCUCAGCUUGGUAGAGCACUGCGUUCGGGACGCAGGGGUCGUGGGUUCAAAUCCCGCCAACCCGAC
RNAcentral lists this transfer RNA (75 nucleotides) under Phytohabitans aurantiacus. RNAcentral describes it as "Micromonospora sp. RD004123 tRNA-Pro". It matches the Rfam family "tRNA". Rfam says of the family: Transfer RNA (tRNA) molecules are approximately 80 nucleotides in length. Their secondary structure includes four short double-helical elements and three loops (D, anti-codon, and T loops). Lineage: Bacteria; Bacillati; Actinomycetota; Actinomycetes; Micromonosporales; Micromonosporaceae. The record is from RNAcentral.